Doryrhamphus excisus (bluestripe pipefish) is the source of this 1253-nucleotide non-coding RNA. The record is from RefSeq and is a predicted model, not a curated record. NCBI's taxonomy places the organism in Eukaryota, Metazoa, Chordata, Actinopteri, Syngnathiformes, Syngnathidae.
GUUUGCAUAGCUGCCACUUCUACUUUGGUGACUCGGGGGAACCCAACAACAACAACAACAACAACAACAACAACAAACGAGCAAAUGAACUAGCGUGCGGAGGUAAAAGUGCACGUCAGGCCGUGGAAUAUCUACUUGAUAUUCUUUACAGUGGCAGAAAUACCCCUCUUUGAUGCCAACGUUCUCCAACGCGAGAUUAUUGAUUCCCUUUAACUCCAGCGGCGAAUCGGCCACGAGGAAAAGAUAUGGAGUGCUUGGGGAGUCGACUUGGAGGACGACAGGAAGUGACGCCGGGGUUCGACCCUGGUGAGGAUAAGUGGUAGAAAAUGAACGAAAGGACCCGGAAGACUGCUGGGAUAAAUGGAAGCAGGAAUUCUCCUGAAGGAGAACGUCCGUCCGUCUGUUGGUGACCUCCAGCUGAAAGCUACUUGGGUUCUUCAGCGGGACCAUGAUCCAAAACACAGCAACAAGUCCACCUCUGAAUGGCUGAAGACUUGGGAGCGGUCUAGUCCAAGUCCUGACCUGGAUCCUAUGGAGAUGCUGCGGCAUGACCUUCAAAAGGCUUCAUGCUGGGAAAGCCGACAACAAUUCCUCAGAGACUCAUUGCAAGUUAUUGCUUGAUUGCAGUUGUUGCUGCUAAGGGUGACCCAACCAAAGGCACCGGGGAUGCUUUAGCUUUAGUGAGCAUUUCCCAGCAUGCACUUCAUUCAUUCACACUCCAUCCAUGUUCUCAUUGAAUGGAGACACUUUUCAAAUGAACCCUGACAGUUUGGUUUAUUCCUGCACCCCCGUCAUCAGUCACUAUCAGGGGCCCCACGGGGGCUGGGGGUGGGGGCUGCUGUAAGGAGGGUCUUAUUGGAUAUGUGUGUGUGUGUACCUGUGUGUGUUUGUGCAUGUGUGUGUGUGUGUGUUUGAGGUUAUGGACACUAGCAGGAGGACAGAACCAGCCCGAGGUUAAAAGAGGAUGGAACAUUUUCAUUUCUUGGACCGGAGCUCUCAGGAAUAUGGCAGCACCGCUAAGACGCAGUGACAGCCUCCCUCUCGCUCUCACACACACACACACACGCAUACACACACACGCAUACACAUGUAUACACACACACACAAACUGUGUGCAAAGACAUGUUCAGUGAAAUCCAAGGAUGAAGAUGUUCUCAUUGAUGGUAACUGUAAUGUAAGGAUGAGGUCUAUUAGUGGAUGGAUGGAGGAGAUGCUAACUAGGGACAACAUUAUCACCAAGGCCAAGCACACAC